AUGCUUUUGGCCGACAUGAUGAUGGAGGCCAGGAAGGCGUUGAUGGAGAGGGAGAGGGACCAGUUCCCCGUCGGCAUGCGGGUCCUCGCCGUCGACGAUGACCCCGUGUGCCUCAAGGUUCUGGAGGUCCUCCUACGCCGCUGCCAGUAUCAUGUAACAACAACCAACCAAGCUGCUACUGCACUGAGGCUGUUAAGGGAGAACAAGGACAUGUUUGAUCUGGUGAUCAGUGACGUCCACAUGCCCGACAUGGACGGCUUCAAGCUCCUCGAGCUCGUCGGGCUCGAAAUGGACCUCCCCGUCAUCAUGUUAUCGGUGAACGGAGAGACUAAAUCUGUGCUCAAGGGGAUAACUCAUGGUGCCUGUGACUAUCUCCUAAAACCCGUUCGCAUCGAAGAGCUCCGGAACGUGUGGCAGCACGUUGUGAGGAGAAAAUUCUGCAACCGUGAGCCGAACAAUCUUGAUUUCUGCAAGGACUCAUACCACCGGCUCGGCCAGGCGAUCUGUGACAGCCACAGGUCGUCUGACCAGAGCAACAGGGCCAGGAGGAAGAGGAAGGAACUGCACAGCGAGGAGGAAGACGAAGGCGAGGACAACGACGACGCCGCGGCGUCGAAGAAGCCGAGGGUGGUGUGGUCAGUGGAGCUGCACCGGAAGUUCGUCGCUGCCGUCAACCAGCUCGGGAUCGACAAGGCUGUACCUAAAAGAAUACUCGAGCUUAUGAACGUGGAGAAGCUCACCAGGGAAAAUGUUGCGAGUCAUCUGCAGAAGUACAGGCUAUACCUCAGACGGCUAAGUGCUGUGGCAUCACAACAAGCCAGCAUUGCUGCUGCCUUUGGAGGCAGAGACCCCUUUCUGCACAUGGGAGCAUUUGAAGGACUUCAUAGUUAUCAUCAACCUUUUGCCCCUUCUUCUGGUCUUCCAUCUUUCAAUCCACAUGGACUGCUGAGUGGUGCUGGUGCAGCAGCAUUUGGGCUUCAGGACUUUGUUCCUUCCAAGGCAAUUCAGUGUGAUAGCAGUAAUGGUGCAAUAAGUCAUUGCGCCGGCGAUACAAUCAAAUUUAACAUUGUGAGCUCACAAGACAAUCAACAGGCAGAUCUAACGCAAGGCUUGACCGCAUCGUCGUCACUUGGGCAGAGGUGGAUCCAUCAAGAAACCAAUGAUCUGUGCUCUGUCUUUUCCAGGGGUGCUCUGGCCAGCACUAUGUCUAGCACAUUCCAGAGAAUUACAAGCAGUUCACUACCACCAGAAGAUCUUUUGGAGUGCACUCCACAUAUCAAAGUUGGAGCCCAUCCAUCUAUAGGAAUACAAACUGCAAGUUCAGGGCUGCUUGAAAGGUCUCAGCAGGGUGCUCUUCCAAUUGGUGAUGGAUUUUCUAUUGACAAGUUACCGUUGCACGUCUCGUUCGAUGGCGCUGUCGCGACAAAACCGGAUGCUAGCUUUGCCGCUGAAGAACAAGACAUGGACCAAAAGGGGAUAUUUUCAGAAAGAAUGACUGUUGGUGUUUGCCCUUCUGAGAGCCUCAUAGCAGCCAACAAUGCCAGAUGUGGAGCCAGUUCUUCUGGUAGUACACUGCUGCUCCCUCAUGAUAUGGAGCGACAUUCGAAAUACUUGCAGUUUGGAGUUGCAAGCAACUCUAGACAUAGAAUGGAUGGAAUGAGACAAGACCAAAGACUGAACAGUGGAGGUUUUAGCUAUGAUGGUGGUGCCAUUGUGCCUGAACAUCAACAGACCGAUAUGGACGAUUUGGGAACUUCGAAGCUGCAGGGUGGGUCAAUUCUAGCAGCUGCAACUUUGAUGGCCUUCUCAAUUCCAUAA
Molecule: ribosomal RNA, 1818 nt
Filed under: Triticum aestivum (bread wheat)
Lineage: Eukaryota; Viridiplantae; Streptophyta; Magnoliopsida; Poales; Poaceae
Description: partial small subunit ribosomal RNA
Source: RNAcentral